UCGCAAAAUAUGUAGCAGUGCUUUAUUGGAGUCGGUUUCAAAAACAGCCGCCCUCUGCAGUUUAGCGGCGAUUUCGGUGACACAUUGGAGAGAAGCGGCUAUUUGCUCUUUCUUUCCCUCAUCCAUCACCGUCUCUGCACCUCCCCAAAGUUUCUACGCUCUGCUAGCUCCUCUGCUUCUUCUGCUCCCUCUGCUCUGCCAGAUCAGCGUAGCGACACGAGCAUUCUCCACCACGCCCGCCGCAUGUUCUUCUUCUCCUUCUUCCUUUAUUUCUUUAUUUGGAUUCUGGUUUAUUUUUCUUCUUUUUUUUCUGCUAGGUUUUCACCUGUUUACAAGAGGAGAAGUGCCCCUCACCCAUAACAAAGGGGCUCUUCUGUCCUUCUGCUUUGCACCUUCACUUCUGGUUUUCUCUUCAUGUUUUUUUUUUUUUGUUCUGAUUUUUUGCAAACUCUGCUCUUAGGUUUUCUACUAAUUAAAUUGAUUGUUUUGAUUUAUGGUAGAAGAAGAGAAAGCUCAAUAGAGAAUCUUUUUAGUAUAUUCCAUUCAAUAUCAGAAUAUCUAAACAAGUUGUAAAUUGCAGUGUGAGAAUAAUUUUUACAAAUAUUUCUAUAAAUUUGUCAUAAUCAAGUGAUAAUACCCUUUGAGUUUGGACAUGGGAGCUUAGAAGAUAGGUCAUGAAUCUUGGUUGAUAUUGAGACUAUUAAGCCUACUCAUGUUUUUAAUGUUGAUGAUUUCACUAGUGCCUUUAAUUUGAAGUGGUUUGAGGCUAACAAAACAGAAUCUAUUGGUGUUGAUGUUGUUGGUGUGCUAACAUUGGCAAAUGCUUGCAAGGACCAUAGCCUCCCCAUGUGAAUUAUGCCUUUAGUGGCAAUUUUAAACAUAAACCAAAUUCUAAUGUUUCUUUCUACACUAAAACCCAAGUCAAGGCGAGUUCCAAAAAGUAUACAGUCUUGGUUAGAUGAUUAGAUGUCCGAUGUUUUUGGUGCAUCAGGACUUAUUGAUUUUUAUAAUCAGUAUAUAUUGCGAGUGAAUUUGUCUUUGACCCUUUUAAAAUUUUGUGUUAGGUUGAAGAGCUUCUAAAGGAUUAUGAUUUAUGAAAAUGUAUGAACCCUCAAAAUUCAAUUUCCAAUAUCCUCUGAACUUAAGCAAUUCACACAACUUCAUCACUAAGAUGACAAGAUCAGAUAAAGUGGCUAAAGUAUCAUUAUAUCUUGUAAGAUAUUUUAUGGUCAUUUUAUUGCUUUUUUAUUUAUUAUUAUUUUUCAGAGCUUGAAUGAACUUUUUUUUUUCUUUUGCAACAGUGUUCAGUGAGCAUUACACACUCCUUUGUGCAAUUUAGAAACAAAGAUCAAUAUCAGCAUAAAAUAUCUCCUUAGCUCUCCACUUGUUGCAUUCAAUCUCAGCUACCUAUCCGCUAGGGAAGACCAUUAUUAAAAUGACAAAAUACGCAUUUUACUUCUGGCAUUUUGUUUCGGAGAUAUCAUUGUCUUAAACUCUUGAUUUGUUAUUAAUUUAUUCUUGUGAUAUUUUAGCCAUCUUUAGGUUGCUUUAUUUUUGUGUUUGUUUGGAUGUAGAAGCAAUUGAGCAGCUUUGUAAGACCAACAUUUUUUUAAUUUAAUUGUGAAAAUUGUGGGGGUUAUA
Molecule: non-coding RNA, 1641 nt
Organism: Arachis ipaensis
Lineage: Eukaryota; Viridiplantae; Streptophyta; Magnoliopsida; Fabales; Fabaceae
Source: RefSeq, a predicted model, not a curated record